GACGAACGCUGCGGCGUGCUUAACACAUGCAAGUCGAACGAAGAGCGAUGGAAGCUUGCUUCUAUCAAUCUUAGUGGCGAACGGGUGAGUAACGCGUAAUCAACCUGCCCUUCAGAGGGGGACAACAGUUGGAAACGACUGCUAAUACCGCAUACGAUCUAACCUUGGCAUCGAGGAUGGAUGAAAGGUGGACUCUAUUUAUAAGCUAUCACUGAAGGAGGGGAUUGCGUCUGAUUAGCUAGUUGGAGGGGUAACGGCCCACCAAGGCGAUGAUCAGUAGCCGGUCUGAGAGGAUGAACGGCCACAUUGGGACUGAGACACGGCCCAGACUCCUACGGGAGGCAGCAGUGGGGAAUCUUCCGCAAUGGACGAAAGUCUGACGGAGCAACGCCGCGUGAGUGAUGACGGCCUUCGGGUUGUAAAGCUCUGUUAAUCGGGACGAAAGGCCUUCUUGCGAAUAGUGAGAAGGAUUGACGGUACCGGAAUAGAAAGCCACGGCUAA
This 502-nucleotide ribosomal RNA is filed under the name Veillonella dispar. RNAcentral's name for it is "bacterial SSU rRNA". It matches the Rfam family "Bacterial small subunit ribosomal RNA", at positions 28 to 500 of the family's 1533-position model. Lineage: Bacteria; Bacillati; Bacillota; Negativicutes; Veillonellales; Veillonellaceae. The record is from RNAcentral.